UCCGCUGCGAGGCUACAAAUGCAAGCGCGGCAUUUAAGUCGAAUAUUUGCUGACGUCAUAAGCGUAAUUUAAGUGUCGCUGACCCAGUUUCUGUGCCGACAGAAGAGAUGCCCGAAUCGGUGACUGUAACAGUAGCAGUGACUGAAAACAGUGACAGCGCCGUGUAACAGUGAUUUUCAGUGUUGGAAUUGGCAAAUAUAUUGAACAAAACUUA
Molecule: non-coding RNA, 214 nt
Organism: Drosophila virilis
Lineage: Eukaryota; Metazoa; Arthropoda; Insecta; Diptera; Drosophilidae
Source: RefSeq, a predicted model, not a curated record